This 3040-nucleotide long non-coding RNA is filed under the name Gossypium barbadense (sea-island cotton). RNAcentral describes it as "long non-coding RNA (GBAR_LNC020442)". The record is from RNAcentral. Lineage: Eukaryota; Viridiplantae; Streptophyta; Magnoliopsida; Malvales; Malvaceae.
AAAGUGGCGGAUAUUAAAGCCUCAUCAAUUGAAGUUCCACAAAAAAAGAAUGGUCCAAACUCAUGCAAAAUCAAGGUUGCAAUAACAUGAAAGCCACUACUAAAAGUAAUUAAUGGUAUCUAUGGAAACUUCAAAUAACAGCCUUUUAGCUACCAACUACCUAGCCAGCAAUUCAUAAUUUCAAACACAUGUAUAGUUUGUAUAUAUAUAAAGCAUAGGAGGAAGCCUGGAAAUUACUGUCUAUCUUGAUUAGGGUAAACUUGGAACAAAAGUCAGAAUGCUAUUUAUUCUUACCAUUCAAAGCAUGUUUGGGACACUAUUUCACUGUAAUUGUUUGCUUUCUAACCCGUGCAGGCAGUACAAUGCCUUCACCCAUCGUCUACUAUUGGGCUUUUGCCUGCCCCACUUGAACUGAUUAGAAGAACAGCCAUAGUUCUGCAUGCUAGGGUUAAAUUUAAGCCCAUUAAGAAUUGCCAUAUCAGGAGGCCUCAAGGAUAAGAAAUAUGUACACCUGUGCAGGACAAUUAAGCACUUUAGUUGAUUUUGUAUCUUUGAUCAUUGUUCCAAGAUGAUUAUUCUUACACCGCCAUUGUAAUUAAAAAAACUCCAUCACGUGUAGAAUUACCACUACAAGUUGGUUUUGUACAUUUGAUCAUUAUUGCCAUUCACAGUGGACAAAUAAUACUAUGGUAAAAAACUUUUUCAAUCCCUUUCAAUUUCAAAAUUCAACAAAUUGAUCUCUUUCAAAAAAUUAAAAGUAAUUUAACCUAGAGAUGAUCAUGGGCCGGGCUAGGCCUAAAAAAUUUCGGCCCUCAUCCUAGGCUCGGACCCGGCCUAGCUCGAAAUAUGAGCCUAAAAUUUUGUCUAUGCCCGGCCCAGGAAAAAAAUCUUAAGCCCAAGUCUGGCCCGGCCGGGCCCAUUUUUUUAAUAAACACCAAAAAUUUAUUUUAAAAAUAAAAAAAGUAUUUUAAAAAUAUUUUAAAAUUAAAAAAAAUAAAAAUAUAUAUUAUAUAUUCGGGCCAGGCCGGGCCGAGCCCAGGACUAAAAAAGUGAUGCCCGAGGCCCGGCCGUUAUCUAAACGGACCUCUUUUUUUGCCUAAACCCAUAUUUCGGGCCUAUAAUUUUACCCGAAUCCUCCCAUAUUUCAAGCAGGCCGUCGGGCCGGCCAGGCCACCCGGCCCAUGAUCACCUCUAAUUUAACCUCUGUCAAUGUCAAUUUUAAAAGUGAACAACUAAGAACAAUUAAUCAUAAUGAUAAUAUUAAUGUUUUUCAUCAAUUGUACAUUAUUUUAAUUGGUAUAAUAAUAAAUUUACUCUUCAAAGUUCACACAUUCUAUUAAUUAGGUCCUAAUUUAACAAAUUAAUCCACAAAAUUUGUGUAAAUGUUGAGACUAAAUUUGUUAAAAAUUUUUAGAAUUAAGGCCAAAAUAACAAAAUAUGUAAACAUUAAAGGCUAAAUAAUACCAAUCAAAAUCAUGUAAAAUUGACAAAUGACAUUAACUCUAUGAUUAAUUGUCCUCAGUUGCUCACUUUCGAAGUUAACAGAGAUUAACUUGAUCCAAUUUUUUCGAAAGGGGCUAAUUUGCUGAAUUUCGAAAUUGAAAACGACUUUUACCUAUUUAUUGUAAAAAGAAAGCCUAAUCUUAUGUUUGAUACUUACUAAACUUCCACAUCUUACUUUAAAAACUGAAAACCAACUUUUAUCGUGUAAGGGAUGUAGCUUAAAGUAAAGCCUAAAGAGAAGAUGAAGAUCUUUGAAAAGCAUUGGAUAUACCUUCAAGAGCAGAGCAUCAUCCGACCAAGCUAACCUUCGCUCACAGGGUAGAGAAUGGCAAAACAACUAAGCUAUCUUUGAAUAAGUAGCUCGCUCUAAAUGAGCUAGUCAUGGAGACUCAAUUAACCUAGCUUAAAAGAAUAUCAUAUAUAAACCUUUAGACUUGCACAUUUCUUAGCAAUGUAGAAUUACUCAACAUUGCAAACUACUAACGACAAAGUCAGUUCUCAAAAGCAGCCAAAGUUGGUUUAAGGUUUCCAAAUGUAUGACAUGAGCAUUAUGGCAAAAGGUGCAAACAAGAGAAUGGAAAAGGGAUGCCAGUAAAGAAAUCUAGACAGCAACCUUGUCCAAGGUUAAAGGUUCAUUUGUGGAUUUGAAUGUGUUUCUGAUAAGCAACAACCUACAAAAACCCUUCAAAACUAACCUUAGCUCUACCAAACAACUUUCAACAGACGAUAAAAACUUCCCUAAGUGCAUAAAAGAGAUCAUGCCUAAAAUCUUACCAUGCUCCAUUAAUAUUUGACUCUUUUCCCAACCAAAGGAUCUUAUCUAUGAACAACCAAAGUUAUCAUUUGAGUCACCAAAGCAUGUGUUCACACCUUUUUUUUUUUUUUUUAAAAAGGUUAUUGCCAUUUUCUGAUUUUGCAGUUUUAGGAAAUCAAAUUCCACCAGCAUAUAUCCAGUUAAACUGGAUAGACAGAUCGAAAAUUUCACGAACAUGCAGAUUCGGAUUGCAACAAAUGUUUCAAAUGUCAAAUCUAAAGAAAAUAAGAUUUAAUAUAAUCAUAAACUAUUUUAAACCUUUCGAUGCAAAACUCUUCUAAAAUCUGACCUCCAAAAUAAUAAUGAUCAUAAUCGGCUAAGCAACUUCCAUAACGGAUCUGGCCUGCUGCCUGUAAGCUCAAUUUAAGAUCAAGAGAAAUCACUUAUAGAGAAUAUGAGCAUUUAUUGAUAGACUACAAGAGGAACAAAAAGACUGCCAUCGAGUUAUCAAAGUUUGGCGACUCAGCUUUUCCUCGGUAUCCGUUUCUGACUCGUAGAUCCUCGAGCAGGACUCACUCACGAUUGGACGGCGAAAGAUAAUCUUCAAUCUUGCCCAGGCAGGGAGAGAAGUUGGCUGGAAAUGAUGUGAUUGGUAUAGAGGGGAAUUUUGAGUUUUUCGCGCGUGGGAUUGAGCUGGCUAAGGAGAGGCACGGUUACAGAGACGGAGACAAGGUUGGUCGUAGCGCGUGUCUUUACGUCGAAGUAACUGUUUUUAAACUUGUU